RNAcentral lists this non-coding RNA (18 nucleotides) under Arabidopsis thaliana (thale cress). The record is from RNAcentral. Lineage: Eukaryota; Viridiplantae; Streptophyta; Magnoliopsida; Brassicales; Brassicaceae.
AGGCAACGGUAUGGUUGA